GUUCCUUUUGCUCACGACUUUUUCCCCUUUCUUCAGCCCACACCCUCUGGUGAUGGCAGCCUUGAAGCCUCUGACCCAUCGAUUUGGCCCCAGCGUGAGGGAUAAUGACGAGGCUCGGAAAGUAGGGCUUUGCUGAUAUUCUCAGAGAUUCCCAUCUCAACCCUUCGGAAGAAGGCGCACGGUUGGCGGGGGAGGGCUUCCAAUCAGGAGCGACAUCAAGAUGCUGGGGCCACUGUGGCUGUUGGGAUCAGAUGGCACCUUCCUGGGACUCCCCAGCUCUACGCAGCUCCCUUCCUAAGGGUGCCUUCUCCCCCUCCCCCCUCCCCCAAACAGAGGUGUGCGGAACUGGCCAAAUCCAGGACCGUCUGCCAAGAACAACGCCGACCAACAUCCUUGAGCUCUAGGCACAUUGCCUUUUUUUCCUCGCGUCUUCUGUUGUUGUUUAUUUAUUUAUUUUUGAGAGACAGAAAGAGAGAGAGAAUCCCAAACAGGGCUUGGACUCACAAACCGUGAGAUCACGACCCGCGCUGAAAUCAAUAGCCAGAGGCUCAGCCGACUGAGCCACCCAGGCGCCCCGACCAAUUGCCUUGUCGUAUAGUCAGGCCAGGCGUCAUUCCUCAUUCUCUCUCCCCUAAACCGGGGGCUCUCAACAGUUUCAGUUGUUAUCCCCCGGGGGGAGAGAGUCCCAUUGUCAUCUAGUGUGUAGACACCCGAGAUGCUGCUAACAUCCUGCGGCCCGCGGUGUGACCGUCCCGCACAGAACCAUGUGGUCCACGAUGUCAACGGAACUGUCGUUGAGAAACCCGGCUCCGCACGUUUCCUUCCAAGAGCAAGGGAGACCCCACCUCAGGCCACCGUCUCCACAGGACCCGGAAGAAGUCCGCGUGACGGUUUCCGGCCCAGGUGGAAGAACAAAGAGAAGGCAUUAGGCGAAUUCCUGAAGGAUCUCCUUUCUUCCUCAGCUUCCUGAAGGAGGAAGGAUGGAGACUGAAGAUUGGGCGCAACGAUUUGGGCCCUUUCUGCUCCUGAAGCAGAAGACAGAUUCUUCUCUUCUUCUCCAAGUCUCUGUUCCUCCCUUCCACUUCUCUUAUCAGAGGGGACUUUUUAUGAGGACUGGGGGGUCCGAUGGUCAAUUUGCAACAUGCUAAGGUGGUUGAGUCGGGAUGACUGCUUUCCGAGAAGCCAGACCCAGUCCCUUGAGUUAUCUUGCUUUGUUUAGAACAACGGGGAGCAAGCUCUUCUUUCGCACAAUAGACAUUGGCUGCAGAACAUGCCAGGCAGUAUCCCGGCUUCAGGUGGGAAGGAUUAGACAGAACUGGAAAGACAAAACGUGUUUCUCAGGGAUGCAUGAUCUGCACCAGUCGAGGCUGUAUGAUGCAGCAUUUCCUUUCAAAAUGUGUCACUGACCGUGACCAUCUGGCCCCCCUCCCAGCUGCAGGGAGGGUGUGUCUGUGCCUUCGGCUGUGGCACCUGCUGGAAAUUACUCCGAGAGGGAAACCGUAUUAAUUGCCCUUUGGGACUUCUUGGCCUAUCUUAAAUGAGCUCCAUCGGAAGAGGCAUUUGAUGGACUACGCCCAGCGUUGAGAUAAAUCUGCUCCCUGAGUUCAGGACUAACUAUCCGCAGGGACCCAGUGGACCAAGCAGUGAGAUGAGCAGACGUUAAAUGGUUCCCGUGGCUCUGCGUGAACCACUCCGUGGGUCUCGGGCUCUUCACAAGGCAGGGAAGGGCCUUGGUGGGCCUUGCGGGACUCUGGAGAGCCAACACGUGCGUGAGUCAAUGCUCGCACCCCCGUGGUGGUUUUCCAGUUAUAAAACAGCACAAAAUGUACGGAUUUAUGGUGUUUCCACAACCCAGGGGCGCCGGGCUGUCAAUUCGGGAAUGUUGACUGAGCUGCCCUCUAACCGUGUAACCUGGGGGCCAGACUUUUCCUCCCUGGGCAUGUUACAAAGAUUAAAUGAGGUCUGACA
This is a long non-coding RNA of Lynx canadensis (Canada lynx), 1968 nucleotides long. RefSeq lists it as uncharacterized. The record is from RefSeq and is a predicted model, not a curated record. Lineage: Eukaryota; Metazoa; Chordata; Mammalia; Carnivora; Felidae. The transcript is spliced from 4 exons.